Molecule: long non-coding RNA, 913 nt
Organism: Cannabis sativa
Lineage: Eukaryota; Viridiplantae; Streptophyta; Magnoliopsida; Rosales; Cannabaceae
Exons: 2
Source: RefSeq, a predicted model, not a curated record
ACAGUUAAGUACCACGCUGGACUGCCUACGUGUAUACAAGAGUACACGUGGCAAAAUUUUAGUGGUCCGUAAUUUUAAUUUUAAAUAUACUAAAAAUAAUUUGAAAAUUAAAAAAAAAAAUCUUUUUUUUUUCUCUUUUUCUUUUUCUUUUUCUUUCUCUUUCUCUUUCUUCUCGACAGAACUCCCUUUAACCCUUUUUCUUCUUCUUCUUCUUCUUCUCGACAGAACACCCCACCCCCCCAAAUAGCCUUCACCUUCCCCAGCCCCAGCCCCAGCCCCAGCCCCAGCCCCUUGCUCCUCCACGAUACUUGUCUUCACCUGCACAACCCUCUGCUCAACCCGUUUAGGCCGCCUUCGACCACCAACGGUCCAAACGGAUCACAGAAUUACAUCCCUUGGUCUUGAAACUCAAAACCCUGAGCCGCCAUCUCUCCCCAAUAUCUCUCUCACUCUCAGUUUUUCUCAACCCAAAAGUCUCUUCAACGUCGUCAUCGAGGAACCCUGCAGAGGUUGCAAACCACGUCCAUCAUCUCCAAUCACCAUCUCGGAGCUCCAGUCGCCAUCUAAUCUUCCCCAUUUUUUUCGUUCAAUCGCCCCUCCUUUGUCACAACUCCGUUCGAUUCUGUUUUCACCCCAGCCCAAGUCCAUCAUCUUUGAAAGCUUCCAUAGCCAUCAACGCUACCAUUAAAGGUUGAUUAGGAUCUGAUAAAUGUAAUGGUGGUGUUUGCGUGGUGGUGAUGGUAUUGCAGUGAUGAUUCGAUGCUGGCGGUGGUGUUGAUAUAAUGAAUGAAAAAGAAGAAGAAGAAGAAAAAUUGGGAAAAAAAAAGAAGAAAAAUCUUAAUUUUUUUAUUCUAUAAAAUGAUUUAUUUUUAAUUUUAAAUUAAUUUAUAAUAUUAUUAUUUAAUUUUGUAUA